AAUUGUUUACAUUAAAUUCUCACUCAGAAUGAUUAUAGAAGGUGCAGUUACCUUUAUAAAUAGUGCAUGUAAAGGACUUGUUAAACUUGUGAUAAAACUCAACUAUAUAUCAACACCUUUAUUCAGGGCGCUGAGAAAAUCCUGUCGAAACUGAGAGAUAUUGCACCUAAGGAGGCUUGGGAAUCUAUUCUGAAACUGCUUCUCAUUCAGGAACCAUUUGAGUCUGAAAUUGUGCCUCAAGAUUCCCUGGACGUUUUGAUAAAACCUAAGUUCGAUUUUGUGGGUAGAUUAAAAGAGUUGAUAAAACCGUUUAUAGAGAAACGUAAAUCUGGUUGGGAGACCGUUAGUUCUACUUCUACUCCCCCUCCCCCUGUUACCAUGCCAGCUUCCUCUACUUCUAUCACAAGACAAGAAAUUCUACUUCGAGCUGCUAGUAAUAAUUAAGUGAUAAAGAUAUUUUUGCUAUAAUUCAAAGAAUUAACUAUCGUGAUCUCAAUUUACUGUAAUCAUAUUUUGUAAUACUAAUUCUAAAA
Long non-coding RNA from Bolinopsis microptera, 533 nucleotides. RefSeq lists it as uncharacterized. The transcript is spliced from 2 exons. The record is from RefSeq and is a predicted model, not a curated record. NCBI's taxonomy places the organism in Eukaryota, Metazoa, Ctenophora, Tentaculata, Lobata, Bolinopsidae.